Molecule: ribosomal RNA, 419 nt
Filed under: bacterium
Lineage: Bacteria
Description: partial 16S ribosomal RNA
Rfam family: Bacterial small subunit ribosomal RNA
Source: RNAcentral
UGGGGGAUAUUGCACAAUGGGCGAAAGCCUGAUGCAGCGACGCCGCGUGGGGGAUGAAGGCCUUCGGGUUGUAAACUUCUUUUGCUCUGAACAAGGCGCACCAUGGGGUGUGUUGAGUGUAGGGGUUGAUUAGCGCCGGCUAACUACGUGCCAGCAGCCGCGGUAAUACGUAGGGCGCGAGCGUUGUCCGGAAUUAUUGGGCGUAAAGGGCUUGUAGGUGGCUGGUUGCGUCUGUCGUGAAAGCUCAUGGCUUAACUGUGGGUUUGCGGUGGGUACGGGCUGGCUUGAGUGCAGUAGGGGAGGCUGGAAUUCCUGGUGUAGCGGUGGAAUGCGCAGAUAUCAGGAGGAAUACCGGUAGCGAAGGCGGGUCUCUGGGCUGUUACUGACACUGAGGAGCGAAAGCAUGGGGGGCGAACAGG